GUGCAUCGUUAGUCAUGUUCCUUGUUCUCUCUUGAGAGGACAAGGAGGCAGGCUUCAAAUUAAUCUAUCUUUAACCAGUUUGUCUGAAGCAAUGUAUCAUGAGUUAACAUAAUUCUAAAAUACAACUUUCAACAACGGAUCUCUUGGCUCUCGCAUCGAUGAAGAACGCAGCGAAAUGCGAUACGUAAUGUGAAUUGCAGAAUUCAGUGAAUCAUCGAAUCUUUGAACGCACAUUGCGCUCUCUGGUAUUCCGGAGAGCAUGCUUGUUUGAGUAUCAGUAAAACACCCUCAGCCUUUUCUUUAUUGAAAAAGCUGGACUUGAGCGAUCCCAACGGUUUUUUUUUAAAAGGCCGGCGGGUUGCUUGAAAUGCAGGUGCGGCUGGACACAUCUUCUGAGCUAUAAGCAUUACCUAUUUAGUCCCGUCAAACGGAUUAUUUCUAUUGCUACAGCUAAUAUAAAGGUCGAUUGUCCUUGUGCCCGACUGAUGCAGGAAAACA
This 498-nucleotide ribosomal RNA is filed under the name zygomycete sp. olrim922. RNAcentral's name for it is "eukaryotic LSU rRNA". The stretch from base 124 to 277 matches the Rfam family "5.8S ribosomal RNA". Lineage: Eukaryota; Fungi; Mucoromycota. The record is from RNAcentral.